This is a long non-coding RNA of Silurus meridionalis, 1688 nucleotides long. RefSeq lists it as uncharacterized. NCBI's taxonomy places the organism in Eukaryota, Metazoa, Chordata, Actinopteri, Siluriformes, Siluridae. The transcript has 4 exons. The record is from RefSeq and is a predicted model, not a curated record.
GCCUCCUCUUUUCGCAACAUUGACGCAAUGUAUAAAUGCUGGAACAAAAGGACAACUUCCUUGAAGCUUGGCGUAUAAUUACAAAAAAAGAGAGAAGGAGAGAGAGAGAGAGAGAGAGAGAGAGAGAGAGAGAGAGAGAGAGAGAGAGAGAGAGAGAGAGAGCCGCCUCGACUGGCGCGCGCUAAACGGAGCCCGGUGUGCCAGUUUGCUGGAAUAUUAUUUCUGAUUUUCGGCUCGAUGAGAUGGGAAUCGUAUCGCGCUGCUUUUCAGGUUUCCACCGCUGAAAACAAUUAAAGUGAGCGGUUACACACAAUUCUAGCCAUCGACAAUCCACAAUUCAAGACAUUGGCAUCUCCAAAUCUUGCCAUGGGUUUGGAAGCUUCGGUCUAUCCGGUUGCGCGCGCGGGGACCAGCGGGGGAGAGCGAGAGAGAGCGCGUCUGUUUUCGGUCGCGCGCGAGUGCGCGUGCGCGUGGCGCGCGGGGGGGGCCCUGGCGGUGCCAUAGCAGCACAGAAUGGUUUGUGAGUUUUUUAUUAAAGAGGGUGCAGGCCGUGCUGUGCUGCGGCAGCAACGCCGGGACGAGCGCGUUUCACCGGGGGAAUGAAAAAGGAAAGUAUGCAAAACGGUAGCCUGGUGAACGUCUCUGUGUGUGUGCAUGUGCGCGAGCGCGCGCGCGCGCGUGCGUGCGUGGCUCCUGACCAUCGCCGCGACUGGCUGCCUGGCUGUAGCAGCACGUAAAUAUUGGAGUUAAACCAAUAGUGAAUCCUCCAGUAUUGACCGUGCUGCUGAAGUUAGGCGGGCCGUUUACCGUCCACUCCUCUCUGCGUCCACUCGCGCCGCACAGGUCUCAUCCACGGAGAGGGGAAAGAGGAGGUAGGUCACAUCUCUUGACUUUAUCAUGCCAACAACCGUGAAAUAUAAAGUCUGAGCAGGCCUCUUUCAGCACCCUGAUCACUGCCAGUGUUUUUAAAGAAUGUAGCAGUUAACGUGAGAUUUUGUUUGCACAAGUAGCCUGAAUUAAUUAGAAGUAUAUUGCAUAUGUAUAAAUACACGUAUAAAGGCCAUAACCUUUCAUGCAAAAAAUGAUUACUCUGCAUUCAUAAUUCAAUGACAGAUUGCUAUGUAAUUGUUGUACAGAUGAUUUAUUGUGAAAGAAAAAUAAAGUCACAUCCAAAUAAAGAUGAACUUGUUUAUAAUUGAUUGUCUUGCUCUGCACAUCAAAUAUGAUCACUAUAGUAUAGAAAGCGAUGAUGUUACAUGAAUAUGCUGUAAUUUAUUUUAACAAAGAAUACAUCAUGACUAACUUCUUGUCAUGCAAACAACAUGUAAUAGAAAAACUGAAACAUUAUUAGACAGUCUAAGGAAUUAGCAUUAAAAAAAAAUCAUAAAUUACUGGUGGUUUUUCAAAACAUUACAUUAUUAUUGUCCCAAUUAAUAAAAUUAUAUUUAAUAUUUGUUAUUUUUUAGCAAAUGCAUCAUGCCCUAAAUAACACAGCAUCGCCAUCUUCUGGGAAACCUCAAAUUACCUCCGGUUCUCACGUUGGCUGGUGCUUCAUCCACUUUAUAGGGGUCGGUGAUAAAAAUAUUUCGAGUCCCCCUUCUCUCAAAUGUGUAACACUCAAUUUUCUCCUCUGGAGAAACUGUGCGGGUGCUGAUUAGGCGAAAGCCCUCGCUUACAAUCGUGUCCAC